ACGGUUAAGCAUCUUCGGAUGUGUAUAAAGUGGCGAACGGCUGAGUAACACGUGGGCAACCUGCCCUUUGCACUGGGAUAGCCUCGGGAAACCGAGGUUAAUACCGGAUACUCCAUAUUUGUCGCAUGGCGAAUAUGGGAAAGCUCCGGCGGCAAAGGAUGGGCCCGCGGCCUGUUAGCUAGUUGGUGGGGUAGUGGCCUACCAAGGCAAUGAUGGGUAGCCGGGUUGAGAGACCGACCGGCCAGAUUGGGACUGAGACACGGCCCAGACUCCUACGGGAGGCAGCAGUGGGGAAUCUUGCACAAUGGGCGAAAGCCUGAUGCAGCGACGCCGCGUGCGGGAUGAAGGCCUUCGGGUUGUAAACCGCUUUCAGCAGGGACGAGGCCGCAAGGUGACGGUACCUGCAGAAGAAGCCCCGGCUAACUACGUGCAGCAGCCGCGGUAAUACGUAGGGGGCAAGCGUUAUCCGGAUUCAUUGGGCGUAAAGCGCGCGUAGGCGGUCUGUUAGGUCAGGAGUUAAAUCUGGGGGCUCAACCCCUAUCCGCUCCUGAUACCGGCAGGCUUGAGUCUGGUAGGGGAAGAUGGAAUUCCAAGUGUAGCGGUGAAAUGCGCAGAUAUUUGGAAGAACACCGGUGGCGAAGGCGGUCUUCUGGGCCAUGACUGACGCUGAGGCGCGAAAGCUAGGGGAGCGAACAGGAUUAGAUACCCUGGUAGUCCUAGCUGUAAACGAUGGACACUAGGUGUGGGGAGAUUAUACUUUCCGUGCCGCAGCUAACGCAUUAAGUGUCCCGC
This 792-nucleotide ribosomal RNA is filed under the name uncultured bacterium. RNAcentral's name for it is "bacterial SSU rRNA". It matches the Rfam family "Bacterial small subunit ribosomal RNA", at positions 66 to 872 of the family's 1533-position model. The record is from RNAcentral.